Molecule: long non-coding RNA, 162 nt
Organism: Prunus dulcis (almond)
Lineage: Eukaryota; Viridiplantae; Streptophyta; Magnoliopsida; Rosales; Rosaceae
Exons: 3
Source: RefSeq, a predicted model, not a curated record
AUACUGUGUUUGCUGAUCUUAGCUGGAGCAGGGUAUACUAGCACCAUCCUGCUUAAGAAUGGUAAAUUAUCUGACUUGAUCGGUGAACUUCAGUCUUUGUUGAAUGGAACCGGAGAACAAUCAGAAGGUGACUUUGAUGCGAUCGCAUCACAGGUAUUGGAA